CGGGUUGUAAAGCACUUUCAGUAGGGAGGAAGGUAGUGUAGUUAAUACCUGCAUUAUUUGACGUUACCUACAGAAGAAGCACCGGCUAACUCCGUGCCAGCAGCCGCGGUAAUACGGAGGGUGCGAGCGUUAAUCGGAAUUACUGGGCGUAAAGACGCAUGCAGGCGGCCUGUUAAGUCAGAUGUGAAAGACCCGGGGCGUUAACCUCGGAAUUGCAUUUGUAAACUAGGCAGGCUAGAGUCUUGUAGAGGGGGGUAGGAAGUUUCUAGGUGUAGCGGUGAAAUAGCGUAGAGAUCUGAAGGAAUACCAGUGGCGAAGGCGGCCCCCUCGGACAAAGACUGACGCUCAGAUGCGAAAGCGUGGGGAGCAAACAGGAUUAGAUACCCUGGUAG
RNAcentral lists this ribosomal RNA (392 nucleotides) under uncultured bacterium. RNAcentral's name for it is "bacterial SSU rRNA". It matches the Rfam family "Bacterial small subunit ribosomal RNA", at positions 419 to 793 of the family's 1533-position model. The record is from RNAcentral.